Non-coding RNA from Pseudonaja textilis, 1885 nucleotides. Lineage: Eukaryota; Metazoa; Chordata; Lepidosauria; Squamata; Elapidae. The record is from RefSeq and is a predicted model, not a curated record.
CUGUAGAGAAUGGAAGCUUCCUGUCAUUAUGUGAGCAUUAGCUCAGCCCAUAAAGGAAGGAGGAAGUGAGAUGGAAAUUCAAGAUUGCUCACCUUGGUUCUACUUGAUUUAAGAGGAGAGAAGGGCCUCUCCAUCAGACUUUCAAGAUUGCUUGAAUAUAACUGAAAUUUAUUAAAGAAUAAAGAAGAGUUCCAGCAGGUCUUGUGGUGUCUGUUUCCUGACCUGGACUGCCAUGCUGGGCUGACACCAUCCUAUUGUGCAAUUAUUAACUAGUGGCAUAAGAAGCAUUAUGCAACAUGCACAAAAAGAAUAAGAAGUAGAAAGCCAAUGAAAUUAAAGGCAGGAGACAGGAGAGAAGGAAAGGAAGUCUACCGUAGUUUAUAACCAACUCCAUUGAUUGUUCUUCCCAUCUCUCUCAAUCCUUGUAAACCAUCUAUACACCAUUCCAAUCACUGCCUUUUCUUCCUUGAACUUCUCCUUCUCUUUAACCCAUCAACUUCAUCAACCACAAUGUUCUUAAUCUUCCCCUUCUUUUCUACCAUUCAUCUUCCCUCCAUAUAUUUAUUCUGUUAAGUGAUAUUCAUUCUUUCUAUCUUACCGAGUCACCACAAUGUUUUUUCUUCUGGCCAGUGCUGAAUGCAGACCUCCUUCAUUCAAGGCUUCUUUCAUUCAGGACCUGUUUAUUUUGAUGUUAUGUUUCCUUCUUUUACCAUUGAUCAGUGUUUCACAAUCCAGAAACUUUAAGAUGUGUGGCUGGCUAGGGAAUUCUGGGAAUUGGAAAUCCACACAUCUUAAAAUUCCUGAGGUUGAGAAACGCAGCCAUACACAUUUCCUAAACAUCUCAUUCCCAAAGUUCUCAAUUUAUUUUUAGGUUUUUUCUUAUCAUAUCAAAUGUUACUUUCAUGGAAGACAAUGGACAGAAGAAGGUUUUUACUGACGUGUAAUCCCCUGCAGCAGGGUAUCAAGGCAUUCACUGAAUAGUCACCCAUACAAAUGGUUGUAAAUUGAGAAUGAUCUGUAUUUCUUUUAGUUUGAUGCCAUCCUUAGCUUGUUUCAUCCAUGCCUAGCAAACUUAGCAAGGUGCUUCUUCUUUUCUCUAUUGAAACAAAAUAUUCCUUCUCUAGAAUCAUAAAUGUCUUUUAAGUUCACAAUGAUCAAUGACUUUUUGUGCUUCACUGUAUAUUUUAUCCAGUUGGGGAUCAAACAUUUCAUUGGCCCACUAAAUCAAUGAUUGAUGAAGAUCCCUUUGGGACAUUUUAUGGUUCUUCGUUGCUUUUCUUUUCUGUAGCCAUUCUUUUUCACAGUACAUUUCAGAAUAGCAAGAUGCUUUGUGUGGAGAUAAAAUUAUUGACUUGUUCACUGCUUUUCUAUUCGGUAUAUUUCAUUGUGACUUAGUUAACGCAGGCCCAAUGGUAAGUUCUACAAAAUGAAAACCAGUGCUUGGGUUUCUUUUUUUUAGUUUAUUCAGUCAGAAAGGCCAUGCGGGUGGCUGCUAGGAAUAUAAAAAAUCAAGAUGGCAGUUCUGGCUAUAUGAUCAAAGCCAGUAAUAAUGUUUACCUAAUAUUUACCUCUUAAAAAUAAAAGUUGGGUUUAUUAUCGAAGUUAUGGCUAUCAUCUUUUCAAUGCCACUUUGCUCAUCCCCCUCUCUGUAAAAAUUCCUGAUAGCUUCGUUAUAGCUUAUUUUUUUCCCUUUAAUUUCCUUUAACUGCCAGAAGUCCUAUUAACUGGGAGAUUUGCAAACAUAAUAAAACAAAUAAACAUAUUACCUUUACAAAUAAUGUUAAUAAAUUAGGAAUAUAUUCAAUCCUGACCUCCAGAUAUAAUCUCCAGACUUACCUGACUCCAGAAGAGAUAUUUCAUAGGGUAUAACAUGGUCUUGUUACUG